GAGCCUCCCCUAAGCGACGUCCCUUCUCCACUUCACGCCUCCUUCUGCGCAUAUAUGUGCAUCGAUCCCGUCGAUCGGUCGCGUCUUCGUCUUCCUCCUCUCGUCCUCCCCUGUUUUCUUGCAGUUGCGUGGGACGCAGGAAUCCUACAGGAACUGAUCCAUAUAGAGAAGAUCGAGGUCCUGUAGAAUUCCCGGGUUCCCAACUGCAUCCUUCACCGUGAUUUUUCUUCUUUCUUAGUUUCUUUUACCGCGUUGCGCCGGAUGUGUGAGGUCUCGUGUUAAUAACUGUGUGCCUGUGUAUAGAUAUAUGCUUUCUGUGGACCGUGGAGUAUAUGUACGUGCGUGUAUGACACAAUGUACUAAUGUGGAGCGGGAUUGCUAAAUCUGAGUCAUCUGAGUCGACUCAAGACUCAAACCGUAUUACUCCCUCCUUUCCGGUUUAUAGGGCUUGUCUCAAAAUCUUAGUUUUUCCAUUUUAUAAGGCUCAAUUUGGUUGUUCCUCAUCACAAGUUCAGAUUUCAAGGUGUAUUAAAUCAUUACAUGCAACUAUUAAGAGAAAAUUGACCAAUGCAUAUACUUUAUGCAUGCAUGCAUUGCAAUUAAUACAUUGGCAAAUAUAAAUUUUUGAGAAAAACAAGAGCAUUAAUUGGGUGCUUUUGCAAAUUACAAAAAGUAUUCCACCACUUAUCAUCUACCUUGGUUGGUGAGAUUUUUGAAUUGAGCCCUAUAAACCGGAAAGGAGGGAGUAUAUUCGUGAGGUUUUACAUGGAGACCCAUGCAGAAAUUUCCUUUUUAUUUUUAUAUAUUAUGUCACACGACUGAGAAUUGUAUCGAUUAAGAUCUAGCCACACCCAAUGUGAAACCUACUGCACAGCAGAAAUUGCAGACCGCAGGCCGCAGCGCUGCUGCGUGGUGUCCUCAUCCCCGAAUUGGGGCGAGGAAAGAUAAGAAUGUAAUGGAGGUAGAGGGAGAAGCAACGUGACCCCCUUAGGGACCUCUUUAUCAGAGAAGCAUCCACCGCCGCCGACGGGUCCGUUAGGGUUUCGAUUGUAGCACUGCCCCUUCGAAUCUUCCUUGCACAUCAGCAGCCAUCUCGUCGCACACAAAGAUUCACCCUCGGGCGCAAUAAUAGAGGGAUCAAGAGAGAUGGAGUGUGGGGAUGAGUGGAAACGACAGCUGCAAGAGUACCAACGGCGAGAUCGAUGGAGGCAGUCGCGGUGACGGCAUACCUAGGAUUCUCGAGAGGACCCGCAUCCCCGCGCUCCCUUCUCUAGUAUUACCUCCGUUCGAAAAUAAGUGAUGUUGUUAAAAACAACGAACGAAGUACAUUGUAUCGAUUCAUUGUGUCUCUACCUUUAGCUGCUUAGUGGGCUUUCUUCAGCUGGCAGGCCCAAUUAACUAGAGUGCUCAAAUUUUCCAACAAGGAGCUGCCCUAUAGGACAGGUGGCCUAUUUAAUGGAAAUAUGUGGAAUAGCACAACAUCGAACGGCCAGAAACGACCGGAACUCAAAAUCAAAUGGCCAAAAUCACCAAAUGCAUGGGCAGGGAGGUCGUUCAGUUCAAAAGCUCCCCCGUGCGCGUUGGUGCGUGCAUGCGCGUGUGGAUUCACCAUGGCCGUGGCGACUAUGAUGUUCUACAUCAACCAGAUUAAGGCAAAUAAAAGUUGUAACAGAGCAAACCUAGCGCACCCGCAAAGUGCAAAAAUCUCAAAAACUCCUAACUUCCAAGGCAAUACUAAAACAUGAAUUAAACAGAAAGUAAUCACAUAGGACUUGAAUUCUUAGAGAGGACAAGAUGGAGACUCAUUUCUUCAUCACUUAUUAGUAGUUGGAGUACAUAUGCGAAAUAUAAUAUAAUUAAUCAAUACAACCGGAUCCCCCAUAAAAGAAUUGUGCCGAAUCAAUUUUUGAAGGUGUGUAGCAACCCUUCCCAUCGUCAGUAGAUGGCAAAUCAAUAUUGACAAUAUGACUAACACCGUCUACAUCGAUAAACUUGAGAUUACUAAAGGAUGCAGCAUUGCCACUUGUUGAAAGAUAGCCACUUCCCAUUGGAGGACUCAGUCGUGGUUUCUUAUGAUUAACAUAGCCACCAAAGGUUAUCUCCAAAGGUUUAUCUACGAGUCCUGGGAUCAAGGAUUUAGGGAAGUAAUCUACUGGUUUUGGAUCACCCUUAGCUCCAAAAUGGAUGUACCAAUCACCUGAAUAUUUUUCUUGCAUGCAUUUAUCAAUAAAUACACACCAUAUCAUUCCACAUAAGUAAACGAUACCACCAUCGCUCUAGAAUACAUGACAUAUUAAUACCGUUGAAAAGUGCGGUAAAAUUUCUCCAUUGUCUUUCACGAAUAAUUAUUGAAUCAAAUAUUUGUUAUGAGCUUGUACCACUAGAUUUUGCAUGAAAAAUAGUUUCAAGAAGGGAACCUUUUUCCUUGUUUUGAAGCCGCAUUUCCUCUUGAUUUGACUCAAUCAAGUGCUUAUUAUUUUCUAUUUAUCGUCUGCCAUUUUUAUACAGUAUUAUUCGCAAGAAAAUGGUUGCACAAACUUGUGUGUGCAAACGACUAUAAAGAAAGGCAGUAUAUUAUCCUAACUACUUGGACACUCGGGUGCGCAUGCACACACACACAUGCAUACAUAUAAAUACAAGCACGUCUUCCAUUCGGUAACAGAGGGAGUAGUGUAUAAGGUCAAACUAUCUUAAGUCUACAUAUUUAAGUUUUUACACACAAAGAGCAACGGUAUCCACUUAUCGUAAUAUAUCAUAUAUGAUCAUCACUUGUUCGUGUCUAGGCAUAAUUUGGUGCUUGGGCUCCAAAAAAAUAUGAUAAACACUAAAAUGCAAUGAUUCACAUAUAAUUGACAAAGAGUUCAUGAUAAUACAUAAAGCUUUUAUGUACUACCACAAACUAGACUAAGUGCAAUUCUAAGAGAAAGUUACCAAACUUGUUUAGUGACGCCGUACACAAAACAACAAUUGCUUUGUGAUGUCCAAGAUUUUAAUCUUGUUCGAUGUCAACUUGCUUAAUUCCAGUUUGAACAAUCUAGCAUGGAUGUUGCAGUAGCAGGUUCAUACCUUGAAUAUCCUUAGGGUGAUAUAUUUUUUCUGGCCACCAAUGCGUGAAAGUGGACUGAUGACAUUGCCUGGAGCUAUACUUGAUGAUGUCUUGUGAAAUCCAGGGCAAAUCAUGUUCAUGCAGCCCUUGCCAGAAGUUCCACCACUCUAAGAUUGCGAUAUAAUUAGGAAAAUGUGCAAAACAUUUCGAAUAUCACAUUCUUUUUUGAAAAACAUAAUGAAAUGAAAGCGUUCUGAGGGAGUUCAUCAUGGUCGAGUAAAGGGCCACAAGUAUAGAGUUUGAUACCUAGUUGACAAGAUUUUUUCUUCAUGAUAUAUGAAUAACACAAUGACACACAAAUAUACUACUUCUAUACAUAGAUAUCAAAGGGAAUUUAGAUUGGUAUCGCAAAAAACUAUUAAUUUGUAAUUCUAUGAAAAUACUAUCAUGAGAUAUUANNNNNNNNNNNNNNNNNNNNNNNNNNNNNNNNNNNNNNNNNNNNNNNNNNNNNNNNNNNNNNNNNNNNNNNNNNNNNNNNNNNNNNNNNNNNNNNNNNNNNNNNNNNNNNNNNNNNNNNNNNNNNNNNNNNNNNNNNNNNNNNNNNNNNNNNNNNNNNNNNNNNNNNNNNNNNNNNNNNNNNNNNNNNNNNNNNNNNNNNNNNNNNNNNNNNNNNNNNNNNNNNNNNNNNNNNNNNNNNNNNNNNNNNNNNNNNNNNNNNNNNNNNNNNNNNNNNNNNNNNNNNNNNNNNNNNNNNNNNNNNNNNNNNNNNNNNNNNNNNNNNNNNNNNNNNNNNNUCAACCGUUUGAUUGACUACAAGUGGCUCCGAUUUGCAGCCCGUGCUCCAUGCCUGAAUUGGCUCCUUCUUCCUCGGUUCAUUGCCUUCCAAGAGCGCUAGCACCGAUUUGUUUCCCCAAUUAAUUUUGACGUUUCUGCAACACUAUCAAUCUCCCUAAUUAAUUUCCCCAUCAAUUGAUUUUCCAUGACCAUCUACAUCCCCAUGAAACGCGCAAUCUGGAGAAGCAUAUCUUGAGGCCGUGCUCCAUGGAGAGGGUCCAUCACUUAACACAUCCGCAGUUUUAUGGAAGCUCCGCACCUGAAUAUGUUCCUUUUUGCACUAUGGUGUGUCACAUUAGUCAAAGCAUAUCUUGAGGCCGUGCUCCAUGGAGAGGUUCUAUUUCAGAGUUUUCAGCUGUUCUCUUUCUCUACAUUAGUCAUUGUUUGCUCAUAUUCAGGUGCGGAGCUUCCAUAAAACUGCACAUGUGUAGGCGUGUAGUAAACUAUUCAUCAACUCUCAGCUUUUUCAUGAGCUGCACCUAAUGGCCACUUCCUAAUUUCAUGUGUUUGUUCUUCUACAAAAUUAUACUAAAAUAACCCUUUUGUUUUCGUCCACCAAACUGAGGAGACGACAUCUCUUUGGUUUAGUCCUGUCCUUCAAUCCUAUUAAACAAAUCGAGCCAUCACUCGCUGCUGAAAGCAUGUGGGAACUCAUCGCAUUUUGUAAGCUAGACUCCUAUAUCAUUUGCGGUAGUGUUCACGUUGGCAAGUUACACAGGGUUCCAUUCCAUGGUUUAUCUUAAUUCCCUAAUCCUGAAUUCCUUAUAAUUUCGCAAAUCUGAAAGCCAUUGUUAUCAUUGAUGGAUAUUCACCUUGAUCUUUAAUAAGUAACCAAUUAGCCAUCACAGGUCUGGAUACUAAUUCUUCGUAAGAAUGUAAUGAACUUUACUUGCAGUCAAUGCACUUUUAUUUUUCCCUUCUUUUCCUUGCAAAGGGUUUGUUCAAAGCUUUUUAUUAAACUGCAUGAAGUGCAACAGCAACGCGCGGGGAGUGUGUUCGUAGGUGUGGAAUACCUAAAUAAUGUCACUUUGCAAGGAAAUGGAAUACAUUAUAUGACAAGUUAUUGGAUCAUUUUUUAAACAUUACGUAGACCAUAAUUUUAGAAAAGUAAGUCAACUGAUGAUGUCUUGUACAUCUAGAAUGUGCAUGCUUGUACAUCCAACAUUGCUAGUUCCUGGAUUGAGAUAUGAUGGUCUUUGUAGUUUAUGCAACAAACAUAAACACUUCCAUGUAAUCACUCUUAGUCUAUAUUUUAAACACAUAACAUGCACAAUGUAGCUUAUAGAGGUUAGAAAGAAAAAAGUUACAAUCCAAGCUAUGUAGAAAUGGGUCCGAGAAUCCUUGUGCUACGAUGGGAGAAUCUACGCAUAAUUGUUGUAGGUGUUAAUAUAUAUGUACAAAAUAUACAUCCAUUAUAACGAUAAUAUAUAACAUACUUAGUGACUAGAGGUAUGCAUAGAUAUUACAACACUAAUUAACACAAGAAAAAACCGUAAUAAAGUACAACACUAAACAUCGAUAAAUUAACUACAGAUAGCAGGCAAAGAUUAUUAAAGAAAUAUGUAGUCUAUCAAGAGCAAGCUAACUUAAGAAGCUCGUUCACUAGUUAUUGAAUAACUCUUAACAUAGAGUUUAGUUUUUGUGCAUGAUCCUUAACAUAGGCAUGCUCCAUGCACUCAUUUUUAAACUAUGGCGUUGUACAAGAGGAAAAAAGAACUACAUUCAUCUUCAACCAAUAUCUUCGAUGCAAGAAAAUACAUAAUCCUAAUUCUUUCCAGGAAACGUACGUUGUUGAGGUUGGAAAGGAAAACAUGCGUGAUAAUGUGCUAAGAGCAUCUCAGAACAGCAGCCUAUAAUAGGGCACGAAAACACGGUGGAGUAAAAUAAAUUUGGCACGAGCAAGCGUCGUCUCCAUCAGCUGCCCUAAAAUAAGGCACCCAAACAUUCAAAACUGAGCCAACUGUUUUCUCUGAACUUUAUUGUCAAAAGUGAAUUUUACUAUUGAAACUUGUAGAACUGAAACUAAACUGAUUUUUACAAGUACUAGGAGCAGAUAAACUAAACUGAUUUUUACACAUAGUUUAAGAAACCCACUACAUGUGUUUCAAUGAUAAUGAUGUUUGAAAAGUGCAUCCUACAUUUUCCCCAUAAUUUUGUUAGUAUAAUUUUUCAACAAACUAAUGUUAUUCAUAACUCGUACUUGAUUAUAUACGUGAUUUUGAAAUUUCUAUCACACUUCAUUGCUACCAGUAAGAGCUAAUUAACACACAUUAGCUUCUGGGUUGAUUAUGAUGAUUAGCCAUGCUAUCGACUAUUUGGAACUAAAAAAAUUAUAUUCAGCACGCUUAUUUAAUCACACAUUCUUAAUGAAUCGUUUUAUUACAUAAGGUGUGUGUAUAGUAUGUCUUCUCUAAACAACAAAGUUGUACAUAGAAUCUCACUAAUUACAAAUGAAUAUGCCAAGAACUAAAAAUAAGAUCUUAUAACAAAUCAUGCACCCGACCGAUUCUAAUAUUGGAACUUCUAAAAAUUAUUUUGUUAGUAAUGCACAACAUAUGCAAAAAAUCUGGUAUUUUAUCGAUGUUGAGUAGUUUGCUUACUAAGUGUAUUAAACUAAUAUACAUGUAGUUGUACAAGUCACAUAACUUACAUGCCACCCAAUUUGAAUUCCAUUGAGUGAAGAUGGUUGUCCAUCUCCCCUCUAUAGAAUCGAAACCAUAGAUGCACUUUCUUGCCCAUUUUGUAAAUCAAAGCCGUAAACAUCUAGUGUGGCCUCUGCACCAUAAUAAUGCUUAUUGCCACCUCCUGACGGCCAUGUAUGACUUGAGAACUGUUAAAAUGUAAUUAAAAUCAUCUGUGCAUAAGUAGGACACAGAUUGCAUGAUGAUAUCAUACUAAAAAUAUCACAAACAAUAAUGCAAUUAAGGGGAACUUAAUACUCACAUAAGUAAUUUUUGAAUUUUCGACAGAGGUAAGAUUUCCAUUUGGAAUGAAGAAUUCUAGAUGAAUUUCAUAGGACCAUGAAAUUGUCGAGUUUCCUUGCUUUAUAUUGUAGAGCAGGGGACAAAUAAGGAGAGAAUGUAAAAAAUGAUGUGAAUGUUCAUCGCAAUGUCAAUAGAAAAUAAACUGCAAACUUACCUCUUCAAUAGCAUGAAAACAACCUCUUUUAGGUAUGCUACCAAGAAGUAGCACAAUAAAUAGCAUAAUAGGUUGAGGAGAAUUAUCCAUGUAGAAGCCAAACAGAAACACAAGUACCGGUGUAGUGAUGUGCCCUUCAUUGAGGCCCACCCUCUUAAAUAGUGUGAAGCAGUGUGGUGCCUAUAGGAUUCGGUGCGGAAAAUUAGCGAGAGUCAUUUAAAGCUUGGCUAUAAAAAAAGUGCAAUAAAAGAUUUCGUUCCAUAAAAAAUCUUGUUGGAAUAUCUGUUAUUUAAGAAAAAUUAAUGUGGUUCAUUUAUAUCCUAGUGGGAUAUGAUGAUCAUAUAAGAUAUAAGAUAUAUAAAAAUGAAUUCAUUGAAAAGGAGAUUCUAGGAUUUAUGAAAAAAUAAUAAAUAAUCCAUCAUAUACUAUUAAUGAAUAUACAUAGGAAUUAACAUAGGAAAAGACAUAUCUAGGAUUUAAGAAACAAGUUAAUGUCGAGCAUUUAGAACUUUAUCUAUUUAUAUAUAUAGACCGUGUAACAUGCAUCAAUGAAAGGUCAUGCAAAUCUAGAUCAGAGAAGAGAGUAGCACACAAGCAUGAAUACACACACAAAGCAUGAAGGUUCUUGAAGCUCUGUAUUUUUUAACUCCAAAAACUAUAGAUAUUUUAUACGACCACAUUUUUUUUUGUUUUCUCUUAGGGAGCAUAAGAAGGACUUGCAUAUGGUGUUCAUUGACUUGGAGAAGGCCUAUGAUAAGAUACCGCGGAAUGUCAUGUGGUGGGCCUUGGAGAAACACAAAGUCCCAGCAAAGUACAUUACCCUCAUCAAGGACAUGUACAAUAAUGUUGUGACAAGUGUUCGAACAAGUGAUGUCGACACCGAUGACUUCCCGAUUAAGAUAGGACUGCAUCAGGGGUCAGCUUUGAGCCCUUAUCUUUUUGCAUUGGUGAUGGAUGAGGUCACAAGGGGUAUACAAGGAGAUAUCCCAUGGUGUAUGCUCUUUGCGGAUGAUGUGGUGCUAGUUGAUGAUAGUCGGACGGGGAUAAAUAGGAAGUUAGAGUUAUGGAGACAAACCUUGGAAUCGAAAGGGUUUAGGCUUAGUAGAACUAAAACCGAGUACAUGAUGUGCGGUUUCAGUACUACUAGUUGUGAGGAGGAGGAGGUUAGCCUUGAUGGCCAGGUGGUACCUCGGAAGGACACCUUUCGGUAUUUGGGGUCAAUGUUGCAGGAGGAUGGGGGUAUUGAUGAAGAUGUGAACCAUCGAAUCAAAGCCGGAUGGAUGAAGUGGCGCCAAGCUUCUGGCAUUCUCUGUGACAAGAGAGUGCCACAAAAGCUAAAAGGCAAGUUCUACAGGACGGCGGUUCGACCCGCAAUGUUGUAUGGCGCGGAGUGUUGGCCGACUAAAAGGCGACAUGUUCAACAGUUAGGUGUGACGGAGAUGCGUAUGUUGAGAUGGAUGUGUGGCCACACGAGGAAGGAUCGAGUCCGGAAUGAUGAUAUACGAGAUAGAGUUGGGGUAGCACCAAUUGAGGAGAAGCUUGUCCAACAUCGUUUGAGAUGGUUUGGGCAUAUUCAGCGCAGGCCUCCAGAAGCUCCAGUGCAUAGCGGACGGCUAAAGCGUGCGGAGAAUGUCAAGAGAGGGCGGGGUCGACCGAUUUUGACAUGGGAGGAGUCCGUUAAGAGAGACCUGAAGGAUUGGAGUAUCGACAAAGAGCUAGCUAUGGACAGGGGUGCGUGGAAGCUUGCUAUCCAUGUGCCAGAGCCAUGAGUUGGUUGCGAGAUCUUAUGGGUUUCACCUCUAGCCUACCCCAACUUUCUUGGGACUAAAGGCUUUGUUGUUGUUGUUGUUGUUGUUCUCUUAUGGACUAAAUAGUUGAAAACCAAAAAUUUAAGUCAGGGGAACAUAUUUCGAGUCACGAUUGAGAGUGACACAUGCUACCAUUUCCUCAGGUAGUGAUCCCCUUAGGAUCAAUUGGAGUCUCAAGAGGGGGUGAAUAGACAAUCAAAACUGACAGGGCUGGUUAAUUUUAAUAUUGGUUGUCUAGAACAUCCUACGAAUGCAAGUCUAGAAAUAUAAUGAGCGGAACAUAAAAUUGCAAGAAUGUAAUGGGUGUAGGGUAAAGAGAAGCAGACGUUGAUCCCCCCCCCCCCAAGUUCAGAUAGUUGGUGUUGUUGUACGUCCUCGUUGGUGGAGGUUCGAUCCACAAGCCAAUUUAUUAGGAAUGUUGGAUGAAAGCGGUUUGCAAUGUUUUGUAAAUGAAAGAGGUUUGCAAUGUUUUACUUUGUAAAAACAUGUAGUUGGAUUCUUUUUUUUGUAAUUACUACCACAGAAUAGAAGUUCAACUAUUUUAGUUGGGCUGCUAUGGGACUUUUUUGCAUGCACUACACUUGCAGUCAGCCAAUCGUUAUCUGUUAUCUUUAUUCAUGUGUAUAAUUUCCCCAUUUUCUAUCACAUUUUGCCAGGUGGCCUUAUUCGCGCUCUUCUCUUGGCUGCCAUUCAGGCCUCCAUUGUUCGCGGUUUGAAUCCUUGUGUUGCUCGGAUCCCUGGAGCGUACAAUUUUUUAUAUGGAAACGGAAGCGGAGGGACUUGGACCGUACUCGGAUAGAUAAAUAAAUGGGUUGUCUACGAUCUGUUAGAUAAAGGACCCCGAUAAAUUCUGAACGUACGGAUUUUAAGCAUGUCAUCGCCAACAUUUUUUCAUGGCAAGUUUAGUUGACACGAGAUGGCAACUUUAGUUAUUAAACAUGGCAACUUUGUCUCAGUUCAUUUUUUGUCAGAAAAUUACCAUGUUUGCCAACCUCGCGUGAACAGUUGCCAUGGAAAACAUUUCGGAAUGUCAUGCUUAAAAUUCAAAUUACACAUCAACAGGGAAAGAAAGGCCACUUCCUCGGCUAUGCCACGUCGGAUUUGAAAUGGUGACACGAGAGAGAAAGCGAGAAAAUCAGCGACCCGAAGUUGGAGAAUACGAAGCCUCACGUUUCAUCUACCUGUCCUCGUUCCACCCAGCCGCUAGGGUUCCCGCCGCCACCAUCCCGUCCAUCCCAUCUUGGCUCCUCCAACGCCGGCCACUGGAGAGGGCAAGGCAUGCCGCUCCCAAACUUUCUCCUCUUCGCAGCAAGGUGUGCCACUCCACCUGGUCGCAAUGGUGGUGGUAAAGGAGGAGGAAGGGAAUGACAUGGCGGAGAUGAAUGGGGAAAAUGUUAGUAGCGUCAUCAUCUUCUUGCUCACGCUUUUGCAGCCUUCCAAUCUCUCCCCCUUCGAGUCAGACAUCGCCUCCUCUUCUCCCCUUCCUCACAGCCUGGUGUUCCCGCUGCCUCACAUCGGCGAUCCAAGGAUGAGCACCGGACCUGGCAGGAGGAGCUCGAGCCGGCGCGGUGGUACGCAUCACCAUCACCGACUUCCUCGGUAGGAGCAGUGCGGGCUGUACAAACAGUCGGCUCUGUCCUGCUCUAGCACCGUCGUAGGUGCAUGACGACAGGGUGCACACGCUCUUCCCUUCUUCCUAAUUUUUUUCAACGGGGGAAGCACGAUGCAAGUACACAUGCUCUUCCCUUCUUCCUGAUUUUUCCUCCCCUUCUUUCGGUGCUCUACUCUUAGAGCUUCACUUCUUUGUUUGUACAUAUUUUGCUUCUCUAUGCCUACAAGGUGUUUUAAGAAAAAACAGGAAGAUUGACAAUGUUCUAUGUAAGUCGUGAGAUUUCAUUUUUUUUAAAUUUAGUUCAAGUCCAUGAUAGUAAGUUAACUAGUCUGAUAUGCCCAUACAGAUUGUUUCAUUUUUCUACAGGGUCACAAGCUUAACGUAAUCACGAUAUGUUGAGUGUUAGUAUGACGGGAAUAAUGAUAAUAUAUUUGUGAAAUAGUUUCAUGAAUAUUCGGAAUAGUUUUAAGAGGAACCAGAAGGUUUCAGAGUUUAUUGGGCAAUACCGGAUAUUUACAAUAAAUAAUAUAUAGGUGGAAAUGUUCCGGUGAUGUUAAAUUACUAAUAAAAACCUCUAGUAAUUGUUAGGAAGCUUUUAUAUUUAAUUUAAUAUCAACAAGCCUUAAAAGGCCAAGUGGUGAAAGUAGAAUUGGGCCACAAGGGCCAAUAGGGGUGGCACGCCCUCUCCCAUGGAAAGAAGGGAGGGAAGGACGAAUUGGGGACGGGUUCCCCCUUGCCUAGGCCGGCGCAAGGGGAGGAGGAGGAAUCCCCCUUGUGUGGCACCCCCUCCUCUCCCUCCAACCUAUAUAUACUAGAGGCUUCGGCACUUUUUGAACACACAAGUUUGGACCCUCCUCUAGUUCUUUAAUUCUAUUUCUAGUUGGUCCUAGUUGAUCAAUUAGAGCUAGACCUAGAUCCUCUAGUCCUCAUAAUUAGAAGUCCAUUGUGGUUAUAAUUUCCUCCCUCUAAUUCUCCAACAACGAUUAGCUCUGGUCGGCGAAGCGUGCCAGAUCGUGAAGACCGUGCACUUGCAACUCGUAGAGAGGUUGUGCUUUCGGUCUUCUAUUCGAGGGACUGUUUGUGGGGUGUUUGUGGGUUCAUUCAUCUACGGUUCGGGGGAGUACAAGUAUGAUCUACAUUAACUCGUCUUCUUCUGCCACAACUCGGAGUCGAUAUGAUCAAAUUCAAAUUGUUAAUGCAUCUUCAUAUUGUUUCUGUGUGAUUGUAGGGCGAAUGUUUUUUGUUUUCUACUAUGUUUCUCAACACGAUGGUUGCUACCUCUUGAGCACUGCGUUGGUUUUCCCCGAAGAGGAAGGGAUCAUGCAGCAAAGUAGCGUAAGUAUUUCUCUCAGUUUUUGAGAACCAAGGUAUCAAUCCAGUAGGAGGCUACGCGCAAGUCCCUCGCACCUGCACAAAACAAAUAAAUCCUCACAACCAACACAAAUAGGGGUUGUCAAUCCCUAUAGGGCCACUUACGAGAGUGAGAUCUGAUAGAUAUGAUAAUAUAAUAUUUUUAGUAUUUUUAUGAUAAAGAUGCAAAGUAAAAUAAAGGCAAAGUAAAUAACUAAGAAGUAGGAGAUUAAUAUGAUAAAGAUAGACCCGGGGGCCAUAGGUUUCACUAGUGGCUUCUCUCAAGAGCAUAAGUAUUCUAUGGUGGGUGAACAAAUUACUGUUGAGCAAUUGACAGAAUUGAGCAUAGUUACGAGAAUAUCAAGGUAUGAUCAUGUAUAUAGGCAUAUCACGUCCGAGACAAGUAGACCGACUCCUGCCAGCAUCCACUAGUAUUACUCCACUCAUCGACCGCUAUCCAGCAUGCAUCUAGAGUAUUAAGUUAAAAACAGAGUAACGCCUUAAGCAAGAUGACAUGAUGUAGAGGGAUAGACUCAUGCAAUAUUAAGAAAACCCCAUCUUGUUAUCCUCGAUGGCAACAAUACAAUACGUGCCUUGCUGCCCCUACUGUCACUGGGAAAGGACACCGCAAGAUUGAACUCAAAGCUAAGCACUUCUCCCAUUGCAAGAAAGAUCAAUCUAGUAGGCCAAACCAAACUGAUAAUUCGAAGAGACUUGCAAAGAUAACCAAUCAUACAUAAAAGAAUUUAGAGAAGAUUUAAAUAUUAUUCAUAGAUAGACUUGAUCAUAAACCCACAAUUCAUCGGUCUCAACAAACACACCAUAAAAAGAAGAUUACAUCGAAUAGUUCUCCAUAAGAGAGGGGGAGAACAUUGUAUUGAGAUCCAAAAAGAGAGAAGAAGCCAUCUAGCUACUAACUAUGGACCCGUAGGUCUGAGGUAAACUACUCACACUUCAUCGGAGAGGCUAUGGUGUUGAUGUAGAAGCCCUCCAUGAUCGAUGCCCCUCCGGCGGAGCUCCAGAAUAGGCCCCAAGCUGGGAUCUCGUGGAUACAGAAAGUUGCGGCGGUGGAAUUAGUGUUUUGGCUCCGUAUCUGAUCGUUUGGGGGUACGUAGGUAUAUAUAAGAGGAAGAAGUACGUCGGGGAGCAACAGGGGGGCCACGAGGGUGGAGGGCGUGCCUGGGGUAGGCAGGUGCGCCCCCUACCUCGUGGCCUCCCGUUGUGUGCCUUGAUGUAGGGUCCAAGUCUCCUGAGUCUUAUUCGAUGGGAAAAUCACGUUCCUGAAGGUUUCAUUCCGUUUGGACUCCAUUUGAUAUUCCUUUUCUUCGAAACCCUAAAAUAGGCAAAAAAACAACAAUUCUGGGCCGGGCCUCCGGUUAAUAGGUUAGUCCCAAAAAUAAUAUAAAAGUGGAUAAUAAAGCCCAAUAAUGUCCAAAAUAGUAGAUAAUAUAGCAUGGAGCAAUCAAAAAUUAUAGAUACAUUGAAGACGUAUCAAGCAUCCCCAAGCUUAAUUCCUGCUCGUCCUCGAGUAGGUAAAUGAUAAAAACAGAAUUUUUGAUGUGGAGUGCUACUUGGCAUAAUUUUAAUGCAAUUCUUCUUAAUUGUGGUAUGAAUAUUCAGAUCCGAAAGAUUCAAGACAAAAGUUCAUAUUGACAUAAAAAUAAUAAUACUUCAAGCAUACUAACAAAGCAAUUAUGUCUUCUCAAAAUAACAUGGCUAAAGAAAGUUAUCCCUACAAAAUCAUAUAGUCUGUCUAUGCUCUAUCUUCACCACACAAAAUAUUUAAAUCAUGCACAACCCUGAUGGUAAGCCAAGCAAUUGUCAAUCUUCACGCAAUACAUGAGCAUGAGCCAUGGAUAUAGCACUAUAGGUGGAAUAGAAUGGUGGUUGUGGAGAAGACAAAAAGGAGAAGAUAGUCUCACAUCAACUAGGCGCAUCAACGGGCUAUGGAGAUGCCCAUCAAUAGAUAUCAAUGUGAGUGAGUAGGGAUUGCCAUGCAACGGAUGCACUAGAUCUAUAAGUAUAUGAAAGAUCGAAAAGAAACUAAGUGGGUGUGCAUCCAACUUGCUUGCUCAUGAAGACCUAGGGCAAUUUGAGGAAGCCCAUCAUUGGAAUAUACAAGCCAAGUUCUAUAAUGAAAAAUUCCCAUUAGUAUAUGAAAGUGAUAACAUGAGAGACUCUCUACUAUGAAGAUCAUGGUGCUACUUUGAAGCACAAGUGUGGUAAAAUGAUAGUAACAUUGUCCCUUCUCUCUUUUUCUCUCAUUUUUUUCUUUUCCUUUUUUUUAUUUGGGCCUUUUCUCUUUUUUAUGGCCUCUUUUCUUUCUCUCUUUUUUUAUUUUUCGUCCAGAGUCUCAUCCCGACUUGUGGGGGAAUCAUAGUCUCCAUCAUCCUUUCCUCACUGGGACAAUGCUCUAAUAAUGAUGAUCAUCACACUUUUAUUUUUCUUACAACUCAACAAUUACAACUCGAUACUUAGAACAAAAUAUGACUCUAUAUGAAUGCCUCCGGCGGUGUACCAGGAUAUGCAAUGACUCAUGAGUGACAAGUAUGAAAGAAUUAUGAACGGUGGCUUUGCCACAAAUACUAUGUCAACUACAUGAUCAUGCUAAGCAAUAUGACAAUGAUGGAGUGUGUCAUAGACGGAAUAGUGGAAAGUUGCAUGGCAAUAUAUCUCGGAAUGGCUAUGGAAAUGCCAUAUAGGUAGGUAUGGUGGCUGUUUUGAGGAAGGUAUAUGGUGGGUGUAUGAUACCGGUGAAAGGUGCGCGGUAUUAGAGAGGCUAGCAAACGUGGAAGGGUGAGAGUGUUGGAAAUAUGCCCUAGAGGCAAUAAUAAAAGCAUUAUUAUUAUAUUUCCUUGUUCAUGAUAAUUGUCUUUAUUCAUGCUAUAAUUGUGUUAUCCGGAAAUCGUAAUACAUGUGUGAAUAACAGACACCAACAUGUCCCUAGUAAGCCUCUAGUUGACUAGCUCGUUGAUCAACAGAUAGUCAUGGUUUCCUGACUAUGGACAUUGGAUGUCAUUGAUAACGAGAUCACAUCAUUAGGAGAAUGAUGUGAUGGACAAGACCCAAUCCUAAACAUAGCACAAGAUCGUAUAGUUCGUUUGCUAGAGUUUUUCCAAUGUCAAGUAUCUUUUCCUUAGACCAUGAGAUCGUGUAACUCCCGGAUACCGUAGGAGUGCUUUGGGUAUACCAAACGUCACAACGUAACUGGGUGACUAUAAAGGUAGACUACGGAUACCUCCGAAAGUGUUUGUUGGGUUGACAUGGAUCAAGACUGGGAUUUGUCACUCCGUAUGACGGAGAGGUAUCACUGGGCCCACUCGGUAAUGCAUCAUCAUAAUGAGCUCAGAGUGACCAAGUGUCUGGUCACGGGAUCAUGCAUUACGGUACGAGUAAAGUGACUUGCCGGUAACGAGAUUGAACGAGGUAUUGGGAUACCGACGAUCGAAUCUCGGGCAAGUAACAUAUCGAUUGACAAAGGGAAUUGCAUACGGGGUUGCUUGAAUCCUCGACAUCGUGGUUCAUCCGAUGAGAUCAUCGUGGAGCAUGUGGGAGCCAACAUGGGUAUCCAGAUCCCGAUGUUGGUUAUUGACCGGAGAGCGAUCUCGGUCAUGUCUACAUGUCUCCCGAACCCGUAGGGUCUACACACUUAAGGUUCAGUGACGCUAGGGUUGUAGGGAUAUGUAUAUGCAGUAACCCGAAUGUUGUUCGGAGUCCCGGAUGAGAUCCCGGAUGUCACAAGGAGUUACGGAAUGGUCCGGAGGUAAAGAAUUAUAUAUAGGAAGUGCUAUUUCGUCCAUCGGGACAAGUUUCGGGGUCAUCGGUAUUGUACCGGGACCACCGGAAGGGUCCCGGGGGGUCCACCGGGUAGGGCCACCUGCCCCGGGGGCCACAUGGGCUGUAGGGGGUGCGCCUUGGCCUACAUGGGCCAAGGGCACCAGCCCCAAGAGGCCCAUGCGCCUAGGGUUCACAAAAGGGAAGAGUCCCACUAGUGGAAGGCACCUCCUAGGUGCCUUGGGGGGGAGGGAAACCUCCCUUGGCCGCCGCCCCCCCCUAGGAGAUUGGAUCUCCUAGGGCCGGCGCCCCCCCUUGGCCCUCCUAUAUAUAGUUGGGGAAGGAGGGCUUUUCAUCCACGCCUUUGGUUGCCUCCUUCUCCCUCUCCAACACCUCCUCCUCCUCCAUAGUGCUUGGCGAAGCCCUGACAGAGUACUGCAGCUCCACCAUCACCACGCCGUCGUGUUGCUGCUGGAGCCAUCUUCCUCAACCUCUCCUUCCCUCUUGCUGGAUCAAGAAGAAGGAGACGUUACGCUGACUGUACGUGUGUUGAACGCGGAGGUGCCGUCCGUUUGGCGCUAGGAUCUUCGGUGAUUCGAAUCACGUCGAGUACGACUCCCUCAUCCCCGUUCUUUGAACGCUUCCGCUCGCGAUCUACAAGGUACGUAGAUGCAUCCAAUCGCUCAUUGCUAGAUGAACUCAUAGAUGGAUCUUGGUGAAGCCGUAGGAAAAAUUUUGUUUUCUGCAACGUUCCCAUACAAGUGGCAUCAUGAGCUAGGUCUAUGCGUAGUUCUUCUUGCGCGAGUAGAACACAAUUUGUUGUGGGCGUAGAUGUUGUCAACUUUCUUGCCGUUACUAGUCUUAUCUUGUUUCAACGGUAUUGUGGGAUGAAGUGGCCCAGACCAACCUUACACGUACGCUUACGUGAGACCGGUUCCACCGACUAACAUGCACUAGUUGCAUAAGGUGGCUGGCGGGUGUCUGUCUCUCCUACUUUAAUUGGAGCGGAUUCGAUGAAAAGGGUCCUUAUGAAAGGUAAAUAGAAGUUGACAAAUCACGUUGUGGCUUUCACGUAGGUAAGAAAACGUUCUUGCUAGAACCCUAUUGCAGCCACGUAAAACUUGCAACAACAAUUAGAGGACGUCUAACUUGUUUUUGCAGCAAGUGCUUUGUGAUAUGAUAUGGCCAAAGUUGUGAUGAAUGAUGAAUGAUAUAUAUGUGAUGUAUGAGAUGUUCAUGCUAUUGUAAUAGGAAUCACGACUUGCAUGUCGAUGAGUAUGACAACCGGCAGGAGCCAUAGGAGUUGUCUUUAUUUUUUAUAUGACCUGCGUGUCAUUGAGAAACGCCAUGUAAAUUACUUUACUUUAUUGCUAAACGCGUUAGCCAUAGUAAUAGAAGUAAUAGUUGGCGAGCAACUUCAUGGAGACACAAUGAUGGAGAUCAUGGUGUCAAGCCGGUGACAAGAUGAUCAUGGAGCCCCAAGAUGGAGAUCAAAGGAGCUAUGUGAUAUUGGCCAUAUCAUGUCACUAUUAUUAUUUGAUUGCAUUUGAUGUUUAUCAUGUUUUGCAUCUUGUUUACUUAGAACGACGGUAGUAAAUAAGAUGCUCCCUCAUAAUAAUUUCAAGAAAGUGUUCCCCCUAACUGUGCACCGUUGCGACAGUUCAUUGUUUCAAUGCACCACGUGAUGAUCGGGUGUUUGAUUCAAACGUUCACAUACAACGGGUGUAAGACAGAUUUACACAUGCAAACACUUAGGUUGACUUGACGAGCCUAGCAUGUGUAUAGACAUGGCCUCGGAACACAGAAGACCGAAAGGUCGAGCAUGAGUCAUAUAGAAGAUACGAUCAACAUGAAGAUGUUCACCGACGUUGACUAGUCCGUCUCACGUGAUGAUCGGACACGGCCUAGUUGACUCGGAUCAUGUUAUACUUAGAUGACUAGCAGAGGGAUGUCUAUCUAAGUGGGAGUUCAUUGAAUAAUUUGAUUAGAUGAACUUCAUUAUCAUGAACUUAGUCUAAAAAUCUUUGCAAUAUGUCUUGUAGAUCAAAUGGCCAACGUAGUCCUCAACUUCAACGCGUUCCUAGAGAAAACCAAGCUGAAAGAUGAUGGCAGCAACUAUACGGACUGGGUCCGGAACCUGAGGAUCAUCCUCAUAGCUGCCAAGAAAGAAUAUGUCCUACAAGCAUCGCUAGGUGACGCACCCGUCCCACAGAACCAAGACGUUAUGAACGCUUGGCAGACACGUGCCGAUGACUACUCCCUCGUUCAGUGCGGCAUGCUUUACAGCCUAGAGCCGGGGCUCCAAAAGCGUUUUGAGAGACAUGGAGCAUAUGAGAUGUUCGAAGAGCUGAAAAUGGUUUUCCAAGCUCAUGCCCGGGUCUAGAGAUAUGAAGUCUCUGACAAAUUCUUCAGCUGUAAGAUGGAGGAAAAUAGUUCUGUCAGUGAGCACAUACUCACUAUGUCUGGGUUACAUAACCGCUUGACUCAGCUAGGAGUUAAUCUCCCGGAUGAUGCGGUCAUUGACAGAAUCCUCCAGUCGCUUCCACCAAGCUACAAGAGCUUUGUGAUGAACUUCAAUAUGCAGGGGAUGGAAAAGACCAUUCCUGAGGUAUUUUCAAUGCUAAAAUCAGCAGAGGUAGAAGUCAAGAAGGAACAUCAAGUGUUGAUGGUGAAUAAAACCACUAAGUUCAAGAAGGGCAAGGGUAAAAAGAACUUCAAGAAGGACGGCAAAGGAGUUGCCGCGCCUGGCAAGCAAGCUGCUGGGAAGAAGCCAAAGAAUGGACCCAAGCCCGAGACUGAGUGCUUUUAUUGCAAGGGAAGUGGUCACUGGAAGCGGAACUGCCCCAAAUACUUAGCAGACAAGAAGGCCGGCAAAACAAAAGGUAUAUAUGAUAUACAUGUAAUUGAUGUGUACCUUACUAGUACCCGUAGUAGCUCCUGGGUAUUUGAUAUCGGUGCAGUUGCUCACAUUUGUAACUCAAAGCAGGGGCUGCGGAAUAAGCGGAGACUGGCAAAAGACGAGGUGACGAUGCAUGUCGGGAAUGGUUCCAAGGUCAAUGUGAUCGCCGUCGGCACGCUACCUCUACAUUUACCUUCGGGAUUAGUUUUAAACCUUAAUAAUUGUUAUUUAGUGCCAGCUUUGAGCAUGAACAUUGUAUCGGGAUCUCGUUUAAUUCGAGAUGGCUACUCAUUUAAAUCCGAGAAUAAUGGUUGUUCUAUUUAUAUGAGAGAUAUGUUUUAUGGUCAUGCUCCUAUGGUGAAUGGUUUAUUCUUAAUGAAUCUCGAGCGUAAUGCUACACAUAUUCAUAGCGUGAGUACCAAAAGAUGUAAAGUUGAUAAUGAUAGUCCCACAUACUUGUGGCACUACCGCCUUGGUCACAUAGGUGUCAAACGCAUGAAGAAGCUCCAUGCAGAUGGACUUUUAGAGUCUCUUGAUUACGAAUCAUUUGACACGUGCGAACCAUGCCUCAUGGGUAAGAUGACCAAGACUCCAUUCUCAGGAACAAUGGAGCGAGCAACCAACUUAUUGGAAAUCAUACAUACUGAUGUGUGCGGUCCAAUGAGUGUUGAGGCUCGCGGUGGCUAUCGUUAUGUUCUCACCCUCACUGAUGAUUUGAGUAGAUAUGGGUAUAUCUACUUAAUGAAACACAAGUCUGAAACCUUUGAAAAGUUCAAGGAAUUUCAGAGUGAGGUUGAGAAUCAACGUGACAGGAAAAUCAAGUUUCUACGAUCAGAUCGUGGAGGAGAAUACUUGAGUCACGAAUUUGGCACACACUUAAGAAAAUGUGGAAUAGUUUCACAACUCACGCCGCCUGGAACACCUCAACGUAAUGGUGUGUCCGAACGUCGUAAUCGCACUCUAUUAGAUAUGGUACGAUCUAUGAUGUCUCUUGCCGAUUUACCAUUAUCUUUUUGGGGGUAUGCUUUAGAGACUGCCGCAUUCACUUUAAAUAGGGCUCCAUCGAAAUCUGUUGAGACGACACCGUUUGAAUUAUGGUUUGGGAAGAAACCUAAGCUGUCGUUUCUAAAAGUUUGGGGAUGCGAUGCUUAUGUCAAGAAACUUCAACCUGAAAAGCUGGAACCCAAGUCGGAAAAAUGCGUCUUCAUAGGAUACCCUAAAGAAACUGUUGGGUAUACCUUCUACCUCAGAUCCAAAGGCAAGAUCUUUCUUGCCAAGAAUGGAUCCUUUCUAGAGAAAGAGUUUCUCUCGAAAGAAGUAAGUGGGAGGAAAGUAGAACUUGAUGAAGUAUUACCUCUUGAACCGAAAAAUGGCGCAAUUCAAGAAAAUGUUCCUGAGGUGCCUGCACCGACUAGAGAGGAAGUUAAUGAUAAUGAUCAAGAUACUUCUGAUCAAGCUCCUACUGAAAUUCGAAGGUCCACAAGGACACGUUCCGCACCAGAGUGGUACGACAACCCUGUCUUAGAAAUCAUGUUGUUAGACAACGGUGAACCUUCGAACUAUGAAGAAGCGAUGGCGGGCCCGGAUUCCGACAGAUGGCUGGAAGCCAUGAAAUCCGAGAUAGGAUCCAUGUAUGAAAACAAAGUAUGGACUUUGACUGACUUGCCCGUUGAAUGGCGAGCCAUAGAAAAUAAAUGGAUCUUUAAGAAGAAGACAGACGCGGAUGGUAAUGUGACCAUCUAUAAAGCUAGGCUUGUCGCUAAGGGUUAUCGACAAGUUCAAGGGGUUGACUACGAUGAGGCUUUCUCACCGGUAGCGAAGCUAAAGUCCGUCCGAAUCAUGUUAGCAAUUGCCGCAUUAUACGAUUAUGAAAUAUGGCAAAUGGACGUCAAAACGGCAUUCCUUAAUGGUUUCCUUAAGGAAGAAUUGUAUAUGAUGCAGCCGGAAGGUUUUGUCGAUCCUAAGAAUGCUAACAAGGUGUGCAAGCUCCAACGCUCGAUUUAUGGGCUGGUGCAAGCAUCUCAGAGUUGGAACAUUCGUUUUGAUGAGAUGAUCAAAGCGUUUGGGUUUACGCAGACUUAUGGAGAAGCCUGCGUUUACAAGAAAGUGAGUGGGAGCUCUGUAGCAUUUCUCAUACUAUAUGUAGAUGACAUACUUUUGAUGGGAAAUGAUAUAGAACUCUUGGACAGCAUUAAGGCCUACUUGAAUAAGAGUUUUUCAAUGAAGGACCUUGGAGAAGCUGCUUAUAUAUUAGGCAUCAAGAUCUACAGAGAUAGAUCAAGACGCCUCAUAGGUCUUUCACAAAGCACAUACCUUGAUAAGAUAUUGAAGAAGUUCAAUAUGGAUCAGUCUAAGAAGGGGUUCUUGCCUGUGUUGCAAGGUGUAAAAUUGAGCUCAGCUCAAUGUCCGACCAUGGCAGAAGAUAUAGAAGAGAUGAGUGUCAUCCCCUAUGCCUCAGCCAUAGGUUCUAUUAUGUAUGCCAUGUUGUGUACCAGACCUGAUGUAAACCUUGCCGUAAGUUUGGUAGGAAGGUACCAAAGUAAUCCCGGCAAGGAACACUGGACAGCGGUCAAGAAUAUCCUAAAGUACCUGAAAAGGACUAAGGAAAUGUUUCUCGUUUAUGGAGGUGACGAAGAGCUCGUCGUAAAGGGUUACGUCGACGCUAGCUUCGACACAGAUCUGAAUGACUAAGUCUCAAACCGGAUACGUGUAUAUUUUGAAUGGUGGGGCAGUAAGCUGGUGCAGUUGCAAGCAGAGCGUUGUGGCGGGAUCUACAUGUGAAGUGGAGUACAUGGCAGCCUCGGAGGCAGCACAUGAAGCAAUUUGGGUGAAGGAGUUCAUCACCGACCUAGGAGUCAUACCCAAUGCGUCGGGGCCAAUCAAACUCUUCUGUGACAACACUGGUGCUAUUGCACUUGCCAAGGAGCCCAGGUUUCACAAGAAGACAAGGCACAUCAAGCGUCGCUUCAACUCCAUUCGUGAAAAUGUUCAAGAUGGAGACAUAGAUAUCUGUAAAGUGCACACGGACCUGAAUGUAGCAGAUCCGUUGACUAAACCUCUCCCUAGAGCAAAACAUGAUCAACACCAGAAUUCCAUGGGUGUUCGAUUCAUCACAAUGUAACUAGAUUAUUGACUCUAGUGCAAGUGGGAGACUGUUGGAAAUAUGCCCUAGAGGCAAUAAUAAAAGCAUUAUUAUUAUAUUUCCUUGUUCAUGAUAAUUGUCUUUAUUCAUGCUAUAAUUGUGUUAUCCGGAAAUCGUAAUACAUGUGUGAAUAACAGACACCAACAUGUCCCUAGUAAGCCUCUAGUUGACUAGCUCGUUGAUCAACAGAUAGUCAUGGUUUCCUGACUAUGGACAUUGGAUGUCAUUGAUAACGAGAUCACAUCAUUGGGAGAAUGAUGUGAUGGACAAGACCCAAUCCUAAACAUAGCACAAGAUCGUAUAGUUCGUUUGCUAGAGUUUUUCCAAUGUCAAGUAUCUUUUCCUUAGACCAUGAGAUCGUGUAACUCCUGGAUACCGUAGGAGUGCUUUGGGUAUACCAAACGUCACAACGUAACUGGGUGACUAUAAAGGUAGACUACGGGUAUCUCCGAAAGUGUCUAUUGGGUUGACAUGGAUCAAGACUGGGAUUUGUCACUCCGUAUGACGGAGAGGUAUCACUGGGCCCACUCGGUAAUGCAUCAUCAUAAUGAGCUCAGAGUGACCAAGUGUCUGGUCAUGGGAUCAUGCAUUACGGUACGAGUAAAGUGACUUGCCGGUAACGAGAUUGAACGAGGUAUUGGGAUACCGACGAUCGAAUCUCGGGCAAGUAACAUAUCGAUUGACAAAGGGAAUUGCAUAUGGGGUUGCUUGAAUCCUCGACAUCGUGGUUCAUCCGAUGAGAUCAUCAUGGAGCAUGUGGGAGCCAACAUGGGUAUCCAGAUCCCGCUGUUGGUUAUUGACCGGAGAGCGAUCUCGGUCAUGUCUACAUGUCUCCCGAACCCGUAGGGUCUACACACUUAAGGUUCGGUGACGCUAGGGUUGUAGGGAUAUGUAUAUGCAGUAACCCGAAUGUUGUUCGGAGUCCCGGAUGAGAUCCCGGACGUCACGAGGAGUUCCGGAAUGGUCCGGAGGUAAAGAAUCAUAUAUAGGAAGUGCUAUUUCGGCCAUCGGGACAAGUUUCGGGGUCAUCGGUAUUGUACCGGGACCACCGGAAGGGUCCCGGGGGGUCCACCGGGUGGGGCCACCUGCCCCGGGGGCCACAUGGGCUGUAGGGUCUGCGCCUUGGCCUACAUGGGCCAAUGGCACCAGCCCCAAGAGGCCCAUGCGCCUAGGGUUCACAAAAGGGAAGAGUCCCACUAGUGGAAGGCACCUCCUAGGUGCCUUGGGGGGGAGGGAAACCUCCCUUGGCCGCCCCCCCCCCUAGGAGAUUGGAUCUCCUAGGGCCGGCGCCCCCCCCCCCUUGGCCCUCCUAUAUAUAGUGGGGGAAGGAGGGCUUUUCAUCCAUGCCUUUGGUUGCCUCCUUCUCCCUCUCCAACACCUCCUCCUCCUCCAUAGUGCUUGGCGAAGCCCUGACGGAGUACUGCAGCUCCACCAUCACCACGCCGUCGUGUUGCUGCUGGAGCCAUCUUCCUCAACCUCUCCUUUCCUCUUGCUGGAUCAAGAAGAAGGAGAUGUUACGCUGACUGUACGUGUGUUGAACGCGGAGGUGCCGUCCGUUCGGCGCUAGGAUCUUUGGUGAUUCGAAUCACGUCGAGUACGACUCCCUCAUCCCCGUUCAUUGAACGCUUCCGCUCGCGAUCUACAAGGUACGUAGAUGCAUCCAAUCGCUCGUUGCUAGAUGAACUCAUAGAUGGAUCUUGGUGAAGCCGUAGGAAAUUUUUUGUUUUCUGCAACGUUCCCCAACAGAGAGUGCGUAUAAUCGAUGGACUCAACAUUAGUCAUAAAGAACUCAUAUACUUAUUGCAAAAAUCUACAAGUUAUCAAAGCAAAGUAUUACGCACAUGCUCCUAGGGGGGUAGAUUGGUAGGAAAAGACCAUCGCUCGUCCCCGACCGCCACUCAUAAGGAAGACAAUCAAUAAAUAAAUCAUGCUCCAACUUCAUCACAUAACGGUUCACCAUACGUGCAUGCUACGAGAAUCACAAGCUUCAACACAAUUAUUUCUCAAAUUCACAACUACUCAACUAGCACAACUUUAAUAUCACCAUCUUUAUAUCUCCAAACAAUUAUCAAGUAUCAAACUUAUCAUAGUAUUCAACACACUCAUAAGAAAGUUUUAUUAUUAAUCUUGCAUACCAAGCAUAUUAGGAUUUUAAGCAAAUUACUAAAAAUAAUCUAAGUGAAGCAUGAGAGAUCAAUAGUUUCUAUAAAACAAAUCCACCAUCGUGCUCUAAAAGAUAUAAGUGAAGUACUAGAGCAAAAUUAUAUAACUCAAAAGAUAUAAGCGAAGCACAUAGAGUAUUCUAACAAAUUCCAAAUCAUGUAUGGCUCUCUCAAAAUGUGUGUACAGCAAGGAUGAUUGCGGUAAACUAACAAGCAAAGACUCAAAUCGUACAAGACGCUCCAAGUAAAACACAUAUCAUGUGGCGAAUAAAAAUAUAGCUCCAAGUAAAGUUACCGAUAGAAGUAGACGAAAGAGGGGGUGCCUUCCGGGGCAUCCCCAAGCUUUGGCUUUUAGGUGUCCUUAGAUUAUCUUGGGGGUGCCAUGGGCAUCCCCAAGAUUAGGCUCUUGCCACUCCUUGUUCCAUAAUCCAUCAAAUCUUUACCCAAAACUUGAAAACUUCACAACACAAAACUUAAAGUAGAAAAUCUCGUGAGCUCCGUUAGCGAAAUAGAAUAAAAGAUCACUUCAAGGUACUGUAAUGAAAUCAUUCUUUAUUUAUAUUGGUGUUAUACCUACUGUAUUCCAACUUCUCUAUGGUUUAUAAACUAUUUUACUAGCCAUAGAUUCAUCAAAAUAAGCAAACAACACACGAAAAACAGAAUCUGUCAAAAACAGAACAGUCUGUAGUAAUAUGUAGCUAGCGCAAGAUCUGGAACCCCAAAAAUUCUAAAAUAAAUUUCUUGACGUGAGGAAUUUAUCUAUUAAUCAUCUGCAAAAAUAAUUAACUAAAUAUCACUUUCAAAAUAAAAAUUACAGCAGUUCUCGUGAGCGCUAAAGUUUCUGUUUUUUACAGCAAGUUCAACAAGACUUUCCCCAAGUCUUCCCAACGGUUCUACUUGGCACAAACACUAAUUAAACACAAAAACACAACCAAAACAGAGGCUAGAUAAUUUAUUUAUUACUAAACAGGAGCAAAAAUCAAGGAAUAAAAAUAAAAUUGAGUUGCCUCCCAACAAACGCUAUCGUUUAACGCCCCUAGCUAGGCAUAACAAGCAAGAAUAGAUCUAGGUAUUGCCAUCUUUGGUAGGCAAUCCAUAAGUGGAUCUCAUAAUAGAUUCAUAAGGUAAUUUAAUUUAAUUUAUAGGAAAGUGUUUCAUGCCUUUCCUUAAUGGAAAUUGGAAUCUAAUAUUUCCUUCCUUCAUAUCAAUAAUUGCACCAAUCGUUCUAAGGAAAGGUCUACCAAGAAUAGUAGGACAUGGAGGAUUGAAAUCUAUGUCAAGAACAAUAAAAUCUACGGGCACAUAAUUCCUAUUUGCAACAAUAAGAACAUCAUUAAUUCUUCCCAUAGGUUUCUUAAUAGUGGAAUCCGCAAGGUGCAAGUUUAGAGAGCAAUAUCAAAAUCACGGAAACCUAACAAAUCACACAAAGUCUUUGGAAUCGUGGAAACACUAGCACCCAAAUCACAUAAAGCAUAGCAUUCAUGAUCUUUAAUUUUAAUUUUAAUAGUUGGUUCCCACUCAUCAUAAAUUUUUCUAGGGAUAGAAACUUCCAAUUCAAGUUUUUCUUCAUAAGAUUGCAUCAAGGCAUCAAUGAUAUGUUUAGUAAACGCUUUAUUUUGACUAUAAGCGUGAGGAGAAUUUAGCACGGAUUGCAAUAAGGAAAUACAAUCAAUCAAAGAGAAAUUCUCAUAGUUAAAUUCCUUGAAAUCCAUAAUAGUGGGUUUAGCAACAUCUAGAGUUUUAAUUUCUUCAAUCCCACGUUUAUCAAAUUUAGCAUCAAGAUCAAAAUAUUCAGAAUUCUUGGAACACCUUCUAGGUAAAGGUGGAUCAUAAUCAGUCCCAUCACUAUCAAGAUUCAUAUUGCAAAACAAAGAUUUAAUAGGGGGCACAUCAAUAACUUUUAGAUCUUCAUCUUUAUUUUCAUAGGAACUAGAAGAACACGCUCUUAUAAAGGCAUCUUUCUUAGCACGUAUCCUAGCGGUUCUUUCUUUGCACUCAUCAAUGGAGAUUCUCAUGGCUUUGAGAGACUUAUUGAUAUCAUGCUUAGAUGGAAUAGAUCUAAGUUUCAAAGAAUCAACAUCAAGAGCAAUUCUAUCAACGUUCCUAGCCAAAUCAUCAAUCUUAAGCAAUUUUUCUGCAAUCAUAGCAUUAAAAUUCUUUUAUGAAGUAAUAAAUUCUUUAAUAUUAGAUUCAAAAUCAGAGGGCAUCUUAUUAUAAUUUCCAUAAUAAUUUUUCUAGGAAUUACCAUAAUUAUUAGAGGGAUUACUAGGAUAAGGCCUAGGAUUAAAAUUUCCUCUAUACGCGUUUUUACCAAAAUUGUUCCUACCAACAAAAUUCACAUCCAUAGAUUCAUUAUUAUUCUCAAUCAAAGUAGACAAGGGCAUAUCAUUAGGAUCAGAAGAAACACUGUUAUUAGCAAAUAAUUUCAUAAGUUCAUCCGUCUUUCCACUCAAAACAUUAAUUUCUUCUAUCGCAUGUACCUUUUUAUUAGUAGAUCUUUCGGUAUGCCAUCGAGAAUAAUUAACCAUAAUAUUAUCUAGGAGUUUAGUAGCUUAUCCUAAAGUGAUUUCCAUAAGAGUGCCUCCCACGGCCGAAUCUAAAAGAUUUCUAGAAGCAAAAUUCAAUCCGGCAUAAAAAUUCUGAACAAUCAUCCAUAAAUUCAAACCAUGAGUAGGGCAAUUACGUAUCAUUAAUUUCAUUCUCUCCCACGCUUGUGCAACAUGUUCAUGAUCAAGUUGCUUAAAGUUCAUAAUAUCAUUUCUAAGAGAGAUGAUCUUAGCGGGAGGAAAAUACUUAGAGAUAAAAGCAUCGUUGCACUUAUUCCAUGAAUCAAUACUAUUUUUAGGCAAAGACGAAAACCAAGCUUUAGCAUGAUCUCUAAGCGAAAAAUGAAAUAGCUUCAAUUUAACAAUUCCAUUAUCCACAUAUUUCUUCUUUUGCAUGUCACACAAAUCAACGAAGCUAUUUAGAUGGGUACCGGCAUCUUCACUAGGAAGGCCGGAAAACAGAUCUUUCAUCACAAGAGUCAGCAAAGCAGCAUUAAUUUCACAAGAUUCAGCAUCGGUAAGAGGGGCAAUCGGUGUGCUAAUAAAAUCAUUGUUGUUGUUAUUGGUGAAGUCACACAAUUUAGUAUUAUCUUGAGCCAUCGUGACAAGCAAGAAAACUAACACACAAGCAAACAAAAAGCAAGCGGACAAAAGGAGGCAAAUAGAGAGGGAGGAUAGGGAGAGAGAGGGCGAAUAAAACGGCAAGGGUGAAGUGGGGGGAGAGGAAAACGAGAGGCAAAUGGCAAAUACUGUAAUGCGGGAGAUAAGGGUAUGUGAUGGGUACUUGGUAUGUUGAAUUUUGCGUAGACCUCCCCGGCAACGGCGCCAUAAAUCCUUCUUGCUACCUCUUGAGCACGGCGUUGGUUUUCCCCGAAGAGGAAGGGAUAAUGCAGCAAAGUAGCGUAAGUAUUUCCCCUCAGUUUUUGAGAACCAAGGUAUCAAUCCAGUAGGAGGCUACACGCGUGUCCCUCACACGUGCACAAAACAAAUAAAUCCUCGCAACCAACGCAAAUAGGGGUUGUCAAUCCCUAUAGGGCCACUUACGAGAGUGAGAUCUGAUAUAUAUGAUAAGAUAAUAUUUUUGGUAUUUUUAUGAUAAAGAUGCAAAGUAAAAAUAAAGGCAAAGUAAAUAGCAAAGGAAAUAACUAAGAAGUAGGAGAUUAAUAUGAUAAAGAUAGACCCGUGGGCCAUAGGUUUCACUAGUGGCUUCUCUCGAGAGCAUAAGUAUUCUACGGUGGGUGAACAAAUUACUGUUGAGAAAUUGACAGAAUUGAGCAUAGUUAUGAGAAUAUCUAGGUAUGAUCAUGUAUAUAGGCAUCACGUCCGAGACAAGUAGACCGAGACUCCUGCCUGCAUCUACUACUAUUACUCCACUCAUCGACCGCUAUCCAGCAUGCAUCUAGAGUAUUAAGUUAAAAACAGAGUAACACCUUAAGCAAGAUGACAUGAUGUAGAGGGAUAGACUCAUGCAAUAUGAAGAAAACCCCAUCUUGUUAUCCUCGAUGGCAACAAUAUAAUACGUGCCUUGCUGCCCCUACUGCACUAGGAAAGGACACCGCAAGAUUGAACCCAAAGCUAAGCACUUCUCCCAUUGCAAGAAAGAUCAAUCUAGUAGGCCAAACCAAACUGAUAAUUCGAAGAGACUUGCAAAUAUAACCAAUCAUACAUAAAAGAAGUCGGAGAAGAUUCAAAUAUUAUUCAUAGAUAGACUUGAUCAUAAACCCACAAUUCAUCGGUCUCAACAAACACACCGCAAAAAGAAGAUUACAUCGAAUAGUUCUCCAUAAGAGAGGGGGGAACAUUGUAUUGAGAUCCAAAAAGAGAGAAGAAGCCAUCUAGCUACUAACUAUGGACCCGUAGGUCUGAGGUAAAAUACUCACACUUCAUCGGAGAGGCUAUGGUGUUGAUGUAGAAGCCCUCCAUGAUCGAUGCCCCUCCGGCGGAGCUCCGGAACAGGCCCCAAGAUGGGAUCUCAUGGAUACAGAAAGUUGCGGCGGUGGAAUUAGGGUUUUGGUUCCGUAACUGAUCAUUUGGGGGUAUGUAGGUAUAUAUAGGAGGAAGAAGUACAUCGGUGGAGCAACAGGGGGCCCAUGAGGGUGGAGGGCACGCCUGGGGUAGGCAGGCGCGCCCCCCUACCUCGUGGCCUCCUGUUGUGUGCCUUGACGUAGGGUCCAAGUCUCCUGAGUCUUAUUCGAUGAGAAAAUCACAUUCCCGAAGGUUUCAUUCCGUUUGAUAUUCCUUUUCUUCGAAACCCUAAAACAGGAAAAAACAACAAUUCUGGGCUGGGCCUCCGGUUAAUAGGUUAGUCACAAAAAUAAUAUAAAAGUGGAUAAUAAAGCCCAAUAAUGUCCAAAACAGUAGAUAAUAUAGCAUGGAGCACUACAGGAAUCAACUACUUUGCCGUCUGCCACGGCGGACGGCAAAGGCAUGAACGGCGGACGGCAAAGGUCUUUGCCAUCUGCCGCGGACGGCAAAAGGCUCUGGCAAAGUAAGGUCUGACAAAGAGCUACUUUGCCAUCUGCUUUACGCGGCUGAUGACAAAGGUGCCUUUGCCAUCAGCAGCAGACAGCAAAGAAAGCAGACGGCAAAAAUUGCGCUGUUAGUCCGUUAGGUGGCUAACGGCAGGCCUUUGCCAUCCGCCGCUGACGGUAAAAUUUGUCCUGCCUUUGUCGUCCGCCGUAUGAUGUCAGCUAGACGUCACUACACGGCAGGCCUUUGCCGUCCGCCGCUGACGGCAAAAUUGUUUACUCUUUGUCGUCUGCCACUGUAGGCAAACUGACCAAAUGGGUUAGCUCCCAGGAAGCACAGUUGGCUGCCACGUGGUUUCUUUGCCGUCCGCAGCUGACGGCAAAGAGCCCGUUGCCGUCGGUGGCAGACGGCAAAGAGCCUGCAUAUUGGCUCUUUUUCUUUUUUUUAAUCCAAGAAUUUUCACAGCAAAUAUAUAUGACAUAUAUAGAUAUAUUUCACAGGGCUAUUUAACAGCAAACAUAUCACAUAUCCAGCACAUAAUUAAGUUUCAUCCAUUCAUACAUAAGCAAGUUCCAUCAAGUUCCAUCCAUACACAUUGUUCCAUCCAUAUACAUAUUACAAUGCAAAGUUUCAUCAAGAUAGCAAGUUCCAUCAUAGCAAGCUAGAUACAAUGCAAAGUUUCAUCAAAGAAAAAACAAGCACUCCAUCAUAGCAAGCUAGCUUCCAUGAAGUGAAUGAAAUCUACAAAAUGGCAAAUAACAAAGUUAGAAAUAUAUAGGUGACUAGAAGAAGACUAGAACAAGAAGUAUAUGUCAUUUAUGAGCUAACUUAGGUGAAAUGGAUCAUAUAUGAGCUAACUAAGUUGAAAUGGGUCGUUUAUGAGCUAACUAAGGUGAAAUGGAUCAUUUAUGAGCUAACUUAGUUGAAAUGGGUCAUUUAUGAGCUAACUAAGGUGAAAUGGAUCGUUUUUGAGCUAACUAAGUUGAAAUGGAUCGUUUUUGAGCUAACUUAGGUGAAAUAGAUCAUUUAUGAGCUAACUUAGUUGAAAUGAGUCGUUUAUGAGCUAACUAAGGUGAAAUGGAUCGUUUUUGAGCUAACUAAGGUGAAAUGGAUCGUUUUUUAGCUAACUUAGGUGAAGUGGAUCAUUUAUGAGCUAACUUAGUUGAAAUGGGUCGUUUAUGAGCUAACUAAGGUGAAAUGGAUCAUUUUUGAGCUAACUAAGGUGAAAUGGAUCGUUUUUUAGCUAACUUAGGUGAAAUGGAUCAUUUAAGAGCUAAUUUAGGUGAAAUGGAUCGUUUUUAGCUAACUUAGGUAAAAUGGGUCGUUUAUGAGCUAACUUAGUUGAAAUGGAUCGUUUAUGAGCUAACUUAGUAAAAAGCAUCAUUUUAGAGCUAACCUAGGUGUGAUGGGUCAUUUUGGAGCUAACCUAGGUAAGAUGGGUCAUUUUGGAGCUAACCUACGUGAAAUGGGUCAUUUUAAAGCUAAGGUAGGUAAAAUGGAUCAUUUGGGAGCUAAUCUAGGUAAAAUGGGUCAUUUUAGAGCUAACUUGGAUAAACUGGAUCAUUUAUAAGCUAACUAAGAUAAAAUGGGUCAUUUUAGAGCUAACUUGGGUAAAAUGGAUCAUUUAUGAGCUAACUAAGCUAAUUAUCCAAUUUUUGACAUAAGUAAGCUAAGUACAAAUCGUUUUAGAGCUAACUUAGGUAAAUUGGAUGGUUUUGGAGGUCAGUAAGCUUAUUAAGUCAUUUUGAAGGAAAAGAAGCUAACUCUAGGUCAUUAUGGUAAGCAUAUUGGAGGAAAUAAAGCUAAGUCUAGGUCUUUAUGCAUUUGUUAAGCAAAACACUAGAGAAAGUUACCGUGAUCAUGGAGGUGUAGGAGCGGGCUGGCUCGUGCCGGUAGCUGGAGAAGGAUCGUGCGAUGCUUGUCUGGAGUUACGUUGCACCAAUGAUCAUUACCAAUGUCUCGUUACCAUGAUGACACUCAAAUAUUAAGACUAGCAAGUAAUGUCCAUUCAAAUUAAACUCACCGUGGUCCCAAGAGCAAUCACUGGCAUCGGCGGAGCGGUCUGACCGGACUUCUCACACACAGACUGCACAUUUGGUUUUGACAAACACAGUCAUAGUAGUUAGUAAUGAUACAAACACUACAUGAAUAUUUUGGCUAAUCUUCAGAAGAAACUUACCACAAGGAGCUCGUACAUGGCCAUUGCCUGCAUGUCAUUUUGUGCCCUCUCCUCCUCCAACAUCUUUGUCGUCCUCUCCUCCAACUCCCGCUGCCUUUCCGCCGCCUCCGCCAGAAGUUUCUCCGUUCUAUCUCUCUCACUCUGUAUAGCAGCCUGCAACACCACUCACAUGACCAUUUGUAAUCAUUGAUGGAAGCGCACACAAUGUAAUGGAGAAAGAUAGCUGAGUACGUAUAACUAACCUUGAAGGUGAGUUGGACUGGCCGUUCACGAGGCCUUAUCUCAGGAGCGGAGCUCGACUAGCGUGCCUUGAUCUCCGGGAGAGUGCUAGGACAACGGAUAAGUCCAUCUCCCAUGGCUAUGGAGCCAUGGGACCUCCUGCCACCAGAUAUCAUCAGCAGCUCUGUAUCAAUGGGACCAUGGCUCGGGUUAAAGUCCUCCCCUUUCCUCGCCUUCCCCUGAUCUCUAUAUUGCAUGAGCUUGUCGUGGGAGGAGAUGUUGGUGAAGUUCUUUGGAUCAUCGAGGUCAGACGCAGAGAAUGCCUUGACUUUCUUGUAAGGGCCAGUGUGGGCCAUGGCAUACAGGUCGUACACCUCUGGCACCUUAUCCGCCUUAUUGUAGCAUGCCUGAAAGAGAGAAACAAAGUUAAUUAGUAAUUAAAGGGCUAAAGAUAGCAUGAUGAAUGAAUUGCAUGAAUCAUGAAGCAAACCACAUACCCAGUUCUGCCCGAACUGAAAUAAGUUGGAGCUGCCUUAAUGGUGUGGCACACCUUCCAUUUGGGCACGUUUGUCCUUGGCCUCGUUGUGGAGGUCUAGCCAUUCAUUUGAGCACCACUCAUUGACCAACACCUCCCAACAAUCCAUCCGAUCCGCACACCAUCUCGGAGGGGCCUAAGUUAGCAAAUAGAAACUUGAGUGCUACGGCUAUGAAUUACUAAAUGAAGGAAGUAAGUACAAGGCCUUAAGAAUUACCUUCAUGUACUACUCCUUACUCAAGAACUUCUCGCGGCACGCCGACUUGGUCUUCUUGAUACCACGCGAGGCGUAGUAGUCUCAAACAGCCUGCACCCGAGCCUCGUGAUGUAAGUUCUGUAGUAGGCGCUUGCAGACGUUAUCGAUAACAUUUGCCGCUUCCUCCUCGUAUCCCUCCUCACACCCGUAGAAUGUCUGCAAUCAAAUGAGAGAAUAUUGAUUAGUACAAUUAAUAACUAGCUAGUUUAAGAUUUUUAAUUGUGUAAAGGAGAAAUUACCCAGAACUUUCUGAUCACCACGUCUGCCCUCGCCUUGCACAAGACACCGUCGAUAAUCUCACCCGGCAGGGCCGAGGCAGCCAAGUAGUGCUCCCAACUCAAUCCAAGCUCUGGAAGCCGACCCUCACCAGGCAACAUGACAAACCCCGGGAAGUUUUGCCUACUAAGAACUCCAAGGACGGAGUUGGGCCGGCGGACACUAUACAAUGAAAUGGUCCGCCAUUCUUCAUUAUCCAAAGAUACUGGAUUUGAAACACUGGCUGGUGCGAGAUUCCCUUUGAAUAGGCUGAGGUUGGAUCCACCCUUUUUAGGGUCGUCAGCAUUGUAUCGAGGCUUCGGAUUAUGCAAAUGACGAUUUUUGGCUUCGUAGUGUGCUGUCACGAUGUUUGCCGCCUCCUCAGUGAUGAAUGCCUCAGCCAUCGAUGCUUCAAUUCUACGUUUAUUUUUACAUUUUUCUCGAAGCGUCUUCUGCAUCCUCUCAGUUGGGUAGCACCAACGAUUUUGCACAGGCCCCCCAAAACUUGCCUUGGUCGGGAGAUGCAAAAUCAAAUGCUGCAUUGGAUUAAAGAAGCCCGGUGGAAAGAUCUUCUCUAACUUGCAGAUCAACUCCGGCGCCAACUCUUCCAUUUCUUCUAGCACGCCAGGCGAUAGUUCUUUCGCACAAAGAAAAUAGAAGAAAUAGGUGAGUUCUGCCAGUACUAGCCAUUCACCCUCAGGGAUGAAGCCACGCAACAUCACCAGCAUUACCCGCUCAAUCCAUAUGUGCCAAUCAUGACUCAUGAGACCAAAUAUCUUCAAUUUAUCAAGACUCACUCCCCUCUUUAGAUUCGCUGCAUACCCAUCGGGGAACAUCAACUGCAUUUUCACCCACAAGAUAAUUUCCCUCAUAGCUGGCCUUCCAAGAUUGAACCAUGCCUUUGGCUUCGUCUAGUUCUGCUUUCGUUUCGAUUCUUUCAUGUUUUGUAACGGCCUAUCACAUAGCGCCUCCAGAUCGACUCUAGCCUUAGUAUUAUCCUUUGACUUCCCAUCUAUGCCGAACAAUGUACCAAAAAGUGCCUCGGUGAUAUUCUUCUCAGUGUGCAUCACGUCGAUGUUGUGUGGGCAAAGGAGGUCUUUGAAGUAAGGCAGAUCCCAUAAGCAUGUUUUGUGAGUCCAGGCGUGCUUAGAAUUAUAUCCCUUGAAGUACCCUGGACGCUCUGGAUCUGGCUCGAGAGCGUUUAACUGAUCCAGGGUCUGUUGGCCUGUCAACGUAGGUGGUGCAGAGUUUUUGACAACUAUACCUCUGACGAAGUUCUUCUUGUCUUUCCUGAACUUAUGGCGAGGAUCCAGGAACUGUCUAUGCAUGUCGAAGCAAGAAAACUUGCGACCGGCCUGAAGCCAACGAAACUCAAGAGAUCCCUUGCAUGUGGGGCACGGGAACCUUCCAUGCACACACCAGCCAACGAAUAGCGCAUACGCCGGCAAGUCAUGCGUCGAGUACAUGUACCAGACACGCAUUAUGAAGUUCUAUUUGCUAUAGGCGUCGUAUGUCUUGAACCCAUUAUCCCAGGCUUCUUGCAAUUCGUCCUUAAGCGGUUGCAUGUACACAUUCAUAUUUUUCCCCGGAUAGUUGGGCCCUGGAAUUAUCAACUCAGGAAAAUGUUCUUUCUUUGCAUAAUCUGUCCGCGAGGGGGGGGGGAGAUAGAGUGGAAAGACAAAUAUGGGCCAACAAUUGUAUUGGGCUGCCGUCAUACCAAACACACUGAACCCAUCCGUGUUGAUGCCGACUCGAGGAUGCCUCGGAUCUGCCGCUGCAUGUAAUUCAUCAAACUUUUUCCACGCAACACCAUCCGAUGUGUGUACCAUCAUCAGAUUCCCAUCUGCAUCUAGUUCGGUUCUUUUGCCUGUUUUGUGCCAUGUCAUCUGUCUGGACGUCUCUUCGACCAUGAAAAGAUGUUGAAGUCUUGGUACGAUUGGCAUAUACCGAAGAACACUAAUGGGGAUUUUGGACUGUGUCUUCUCACCCAUACCAUGAAGACUUGCAAAUGGGACAAUAGUUCAAGUCCGCAUAGUCAAGCCUAAAUAAGACACAUCCUUUCUCAUAGGCAUGUAUCUUCUCAUAGGGUAUCUUCAGUGCACGGAGGAUUUUGUCCGACUGGUACAGGUUUGCAGGCAUUACAUGGCCUUUGGGUAGAAAGCGUCCAAAUACUGUCAUAAUUGCGUCGUAGCAUUCUCUGACCAAGUUGAACUGAGCCUUCAGAGCCAUUACUUGUGAGAUUGCAUCCAACUGACAAAGCUCAGUGUGCUUGUGGAGCGGACGUUUUGAAGACUCCAACAUUUCAUUGAAGGCCUUUGCAGAUUCCUCCAUCUCCUCGUCCAAAUCCCGAGCAUCAUCAUAGUCUUGCACCAUGUUUUCCAUCCCGGUACCAUGCUCGUCGGUGCGACGACGAUCCACCUCAGCUCGGUCACGUUGGGCAGACUCACCAUGAAAUGUCCACACCGUAUAAUCGGGCGUAAAACAACUCUUAUGCAGGUGUUUGCCCAUUUCAGCCUCUGUCCUCUUUUCCCAAUUGCCGCACCGGAAACAGGGGCACCAGGUUUUCCUCUAGCCAUUUGCAAAUGCGGCUUGGACAAACCCCUUGAUUUUUGUGAAGCAUUCAGCGCUCCAUUUGUUCUGACCAGUGUGACCGGUAUACAUCCACGCACGAUCACUCAUCUUGACUUUCAGAGCUACUGGACACACAACAAUUAUAUAUAUAUAUAAUUCACCAUGUAUAUAUUCAUCAGUUGAUCUACUUUGUCAAUUUUAUUACAUACAUGCAACCUACACUCUAAUAGGUAAUGAUAGGUCCUAAUCCCACCCGAGUAUGUGUAGAUUGGGUUCAUUUUCCCAUGCUAUGCUCCGGAUCUGACGCAAAAUUUCGGCAGCACCUCCCCGUUGUUCUCUUGAUACACGUCUCUGCAAUAAACAGAGAGGAUGUGUACCCGGAGAACAACAGGGGAGGCACUGAUGAAAUUUAUGCGUCGGAUCCGGAGCAAAGCAUAUGGGAAAACGAACCCAAUCUACACAUACUCGGGCUGUCCAUGGAUAGCGUUGGACAAUUUGAAAGAAUCAAGGUUAUAAAUAUGCAAAUGCAUGCAUAUUUAUAACUAUGACGCUUUCGAACGGGAGACGCAUAUUGGUUACGCAUACUGAUGAUUCAAGACACAUAUAUAGCUAGCUAUCAAGUUUCAUCGGCACGAACACCGAAACAGAGCAAAUAAUUAAUGGGGGAGGAGGACAUGUCAUUUGUGCUCACCCACGAACGAAGGGACAUAGCUCGUCAAACGCACGGCGAGGUCGUCGAACACCAAACCUCGCAGUGAUGAAACAACUGCACAUUUAAAUCUACCUGAUCAACACAAUUAUAUAUGAUGUUUUUCAUAACAAAAUCGAAAAAUAUAUGACCUAACUAAUAAUUCACAAAUAUAUGACCCCAUCGGACUCUGGAAGGCCAAAGAACACCUUUUCGGGAGGUGUCAGGGGUCGGGGUGUCGUGUCGGUGUCGGGGUGCCGUGUCAGGGUCGGGGUGCUGUUUCGGGGUCGUGGGGUCGGGGUGUCGUGUCGCGGUCNNNNNNNNNNNNNNNNNNNNNNNNNNNNNNNNNNNNNNNNNNNNNNNNNNNNNNNNNNNNNNNNNNNNNNNNNNNNNNNNNNNNNNNNNNNNNNNNNNNNNNNNNNNNNNNNNNNNNNNNNNNNNNNNNNNNNNNNNNNNNNNNNNNNNNNNNNNNNNNNNNNNNNNNNNNNNNNNNNNNNNNNNNNNNNNNNNNNNNNNNNNNNNNNNNNNNNNNNNNNNNNNNNNNNNNNNNNNNNNNNNNNNNNNNNNNNNNNNNNNNNNNNNNNNNNNNNNNNNNNNNNNNNNNNNNNNNNNNNNNNNNNNNNNNNNNNNNNNNNNNNNNNNNNNNNNNNNNNNNNNNNNNNNNNNNNNNNNNNNNNNNNNNNNNNNNNNNNNNNNNNNNNNNNNNNNNNNNNNNNNNNNNNNNNNNNNNNNNNNNNNNNNNNNNNNNNNNNNNNNNNNNNNNNNNNNNNNNNNNNNNNNNNNNNNNNNNNNNNNNNNNNNNNNNNNNNNNNNNNNNNNNNNNNNNNNNNNNNNNNNNNNNNNNNNNNNNNNNNNNNNNNNNNNNNNNNNNNNNNNNNNNNNNNNNNNNNNNNNNNNNNNNNNNNNNNNNNNNNNNNNNNNNNNNNNNNNNNNNNNNNNNNNNNNNNNNNNNNNNNNNNNNNNNNNNNNNNNNNNNNNNNNNNNNNNNNNNNNNNNNNNNNNNNNNNNNNNNNNNNNNNNNNNNNNNNNNNNNNNNNNNNNNNNNNNNNNNNNNNNNNNNNNNNNNNNNNNNNNNNNNNNNNNNNNNNNNNNNNNNNNNNNNNNNNNNNNNNNNNNNNNNNNNNNNNNNNNNNNNNNNNNNNNNNNNNNNNNNNNNNNNNNNNNNNNNNNNNNNNNNNNNNNNNNNNNNNNNNNNNNNNNNNNNNNNNNNNNNNNNNNNNNNNNNNNNNNNNNNNNNNNNNNNNNNNNNNNNNNNNNNNNNNNNNNNNNNNNNNNNNNNNNNNGGAGAGAAGAGAGAGUAACGGGCGGGGGGUGGGGGCCGUUAGUUAGUCUGCUCUUUGCCGUCCGCCGCUCUUUGUCGUCCGCCUUUAUCUCUCUUUGCCGUCUGCUGGCAGACGGCAAAGAGGUGGGGCGUUAAGUUUUUUCUAAACGGGAGGGGGGUGGGGGCCACCUCUCUCUUUACCGUCAGCCAGCUGACGGCAAAAAUUCUUUGCCGUCAGCUAGCUGAUGGCAAAGAGCCGGCAGAUAGCGAAGGCAUGUUUUUGCCGUCUGCCAUUUCUUUGCCGUAUGCUUUUCGGUAGCUGAUGGCAAAGAGCUUCUUUGCCGUCUGCUAGCAGACGGCAAAGAGCUGGCAGAUGGCAAAGUAGCUGAUUCCAGUAGUGAAGCAAUCAAAAAUUAUAGAUACGUUGGAGACGUAUCAAUUGUCACCGAUAAAGAAGAAAUAUUUUAUGACGGCAUUUUGAAUUGCGGAGAAAUUUAAGGUUUAUGUUUGGUGGAUUAGUCUCCUGUUGAUGCUACUUGUUUGCAUUUAACAAAUUGUUUGCCCUAUGUCAGCUAGUAAUACAAUCUAUCAUUUUGUUUAACUUUUUAGGAUAAGUGGAGAAAUCUAUGGAAAUCCUUAACCUUCUCGCUAGAUUGUCGGGUGCGGCUUGGAUAGUAGGGUAUAUACAUGUGAACAAGUAAGCAUUGUAUGUGUAGAAAGCAUUGCAUCGCUACAUAUAACAAUAGCCUUACAACGAAAAAAUAGUUCAUGAUAUAAAUGGCAUCCACAAGCCGGACCCUCAAAUUAAGAUUCUAAUAGCAUACUAUAUAAUAAAGUAGAAAGACAUUUUAAUGUAGAAUGAAGCCACACAGAUCAAGGCGCCCGACCGUGACAGAAAUCCAGCCAUCUCUCCCUUUGCUCCUAGUUCUCCGAUCUCGCCUGCAUCGUCGCCGAACGUAGUAUCUCCUCGGCCAAGAGAGAUCGGUUAUGUGGGCACAAUUGUUGCAUCUCCUCGGACAGAGUCUGAGAGACGACCGCCAGUGCCAAUUUCUCAUUACCGAUGAACUCCAUCCUUGCCUCCUACUCCUUGGCACAACGAAUCCGAGCCAGGCGCGAUGCGAGCGGGGUCUGCUCUUGCUCGUCCUCCCACGCCCUUUUGCGCCUGAUUUCCUCAAUCUUCUUUGCUGUUGAGAUUUGUUCUAGCAUGUCUUUGUUGUCCUCCAAGGGCCCCAUCCAUGCUCUCAAUCUCCUCUCGUCCCCCCCUCUCCCCGUUGGUUCCACCUUAAACUCGACGCAAUCAGGAGUAUCAUCGAAGCUGGAGGUGCGGUGUCGCGGCGAUGUGUGCGGCCGGUGUCGAUCGGCGGGCGCCAUCGAUCGUGACGGUGCAACAUAUAUGAAGGUGGGGAGGCCUGUACAAAGAGAAACAAAUUAAUUAAUAGGUAUACAAACUAUCUUAGUGUUUGCUCAAAAAACCUUUCAUCAUUAAUUAGUUCGUUUAUAAUCACAAUCAUUUCCAUAUAAUGAUUUCAUCAUCCACAUAUAUUAAACGACCAUCCAUGCAUAUAAUCCAUCAAAUCCAUAUCAAAUUUCAAUCUAUAUACUAUGUCGAUCAUCGAUCCAAUAAUUUUCUAUCAAAAUUAUUGCUCAAAUCACGCACAUUGACAUGACCUAUAUAUAAUAUAUCUAUACAAAUUAUAACAUGUGCAAUCAUACAUGAAGAAAAUAUAAACAAAAACAUAUAUCAUCCAUACUAUUCGUUCACAUCCAUAUGAUCACAUUUAUAAUAUAUAUUCAAUCUUUUUACUGCCAGAAACAUUUUCAUGCAAUCGAUCUAUAUAUCCAUAUCAAAUUUCAAUCUAGCUAUAUGGAUCCAAAUAUUUUGCCUCCACACAUACACAUAUGCAAUUUAACUAUCAUAAUCCACAUACAUGCAUGCAUUUAUCAAAGUUAUAGAGAUGGAGCUCACCUCAGUGCCUGACGACGAUGAGAGAUGUGUGGGGAAUGUUGCAGAAAACAAAAAAAAAU
RNAcentral lists this long non-coding RNA (38769 nucleotides) under Triticum aestivum (bread wheat). RNAcentral's name for it is "long non-coding RNA (TAES_LNC022453)". The record is from RNAcentral. Lineage: Eukaryota; Viridiplantae; Streptophyta; Magnoliopsida; Poales; Poaceae.